This is a long non-coding RNA of Equus asinus (donkey), 1742 nucleotides long. The record is from Ensembl. NCBI's taxonomy places the organism in Eukaryota, Metazoa, Chordata, Mammalia, Perissodactyla, Equidae.
CUCAAAGGCCACAGGCCUUCCGGUUCAUUUAGCAACUCAUGCUACUUUGCCCCAACAACAUAUCUUAUGGGUGGUGCCACAGCUAUGGGGCCUGAAAUCUGAAAAUGUCAAGGCUGUGUUGUGUUUGUUGCAGUUGCAGUGUUGUAUUUUUGCCAUUUCCUCACUGCCCUGAGCCUCCUGCUUCCCUCUGAGUCAUUAACUCUCAACUACCACUAGCCUGUGUCACAGGUGGAGGCAAAUGCAGCAGCAUGUGUUCUUCUGUGAAGCCCAGCCAAGGUUUUCUGGUUUGGGGAGCUACCAGCCCCUUCCAGUCUCCAAAUUGCUGUCUCCUUUCACACAUAGGAAAUUUACUCUUUGAAAUAAUUGAAGAGCAAAUAAAAAUACUAAAGAAAAAUUACAGUAGAAGGAGAACAUGAUCAUUUUACACACAAAAAAGUCAAAGGGCAUCUAUACCAACUAAUGAAAUUGUGAAGGAAAAAUGAUUACUGACAACUAGAAAAUUUAAUAAUUGUUAUACAAUUCUAGCUUGUGAUCUUUAGAAUCUAUGUUAAAUGAAUAAUUUGAGUGAUAAAAAAAAUGACUCCCUCUAAGGAGAAGUAGAAAACUCCAUAUGACCUAAAUAAUGAGAGGAUAUGCAAAAUUAUGAAAUUAUAAGUGUUCAAUGUUCCUUUUGACAGCCCAGCGUCUGGGUCACAUCUGUAAUCAGGGACAGCAGAGGGCAUCACUGCCUCCCUCCUUUGGGUGAGAGAAGGAAAUGAGGAGACCUGAUGAUCUUAAAGCCAGAGGGAUCUGGGAAAGCUGACACAUUUGCUUCUUAUACAUUUCUAGAGGCUGAGGAAAUCCAAGAUCCUCUUGCCACGUUCUGCUUCUGUGGCCCAAGGUUCACCAGUUUGCAUCUCGGGUGUGGACCUACUCACAGUUUGCAGGCCAUGCUGUGGAAGGCGUCCACAUAUAAAACAGAGGGAGAUGGGCAUGGAUGUUUGCUCAAGACCAGUCUCCCUCAGCAAAAGAAAAGGAUGAUUGGCACGGAUGUUAGCUAAGGUCUAAUCUUCCUCAAAGAAAGGAUCAUCAUGCCGGUCUGGUGAAGGCCAUCUUCCACGUUGUAGACUCCCAACUUCUCAUAGUGACUUCACAUGGUGGAAGGAGCCAGAGAUGUCUCUGGGGUCUCUUUUAUUAAGGCACUAAUCCCAUUCAGGACUUAAUCACCUCUCAAAGGCCCCGCCUCCUAAAACCAUCACAAUGGGCAUUAGGAUUUCGACAUAUGAAUUUGGAACAGGGUUGGGGGGAGGGGGAGGACAAAAACAUUCAUAUGAUCACACCAUGCUGUACAUUAGAACUCCAGAAUUUAUUCAUCUUGAAUGACUGAAAUUUUAUACCCUUUGAGAAAGAUCUCUUCAGACCACUAUCCUACUUUCUACUUCUUUGAAUUUGGCUAUUUAGAUUCUAUAGAUAAGUGAGAGCAUGCAGUAUUUCUUUCUGUAUCACAGGGAGACUUUUGUUACAGGUCCAGCGUUGCCACAUACAGGCCCUUAUCAUGGAAAUUAAGUUCUAUGAUAUACACUUCCUCAUGUGCAAAAAGCACAUAAUGAAAAUUACCUGAUGAGCUGUUGUGAAAGUGAGCAAUAAAAUAUUUUUAAUUACUGCUGCUGUUUCCUAACACGUAAUGAGUGAUCUAGAAUGGUGUCUAUUAGUUGUUUUUCCAGGUCCCUUUACCCAUGACUUGAAAUAAAUUAUUUAAAAAU